UAGCGGCGGACGGGUGAGUAACACGUGGAUAACCUACCUAUAAGACUGGGAUAACUUCGGGAAACCGGAGCUAAUACCGGAUAAUAUUUUGAACCGCAUGGUUCAAAAGUGAAAGACGGUCUUGCUGUCACUUAUAGAUGGAUCCGCGCUGCAUUAGCUAGUUGGUAAGGUAACGGCUUACCAAGGCAACGAUGCAUAGCCGACCUGAGAGGGUGAUCGGCCACACUGGAACUGAGACACGGUCCAGACUCCUACGGGAGGCAGCAGUAGGGAAUCUUCCGCAAUGGGCGAAAGCCUGACGGAGCAACGCCGCGUGAGUGAUGAAGGUCUUCGGAUCGUAAAACUCUGUUAUUAGGGAAGAACAUAUGUGUAAGUAACUGUGCACAUCUUGACGGUACCUAAUCAGAAAGCCACGGCUAACUACGUGCCAGCAGCCGCGGUAAUACGUAGGUGGCAAGCGUUAUCCGGAAUUAUUGGGCGUAAAGCGCGCGUAGGCGGUUUUUUAAGUCUGAUGUGAAAGCCCACGGCUCAACCGUGGAGGGUCAUUGGAAACUGGAAAACUUGAGUGCAGAAGAGGAAAGUGGAAUUCCAUGUGUAGCGGUGAAAUGCGCAGAGAUAUGGAGGAACACCAGUGGCGAAGGCGACUUUCUGGUCUGUAACUGACGCUGAUGUGCGAAAGCGUGGGGAUCAAACAGGAUUAGAUACCCUGGUAGUCCACGCCGUAAACGAUGAGUGCUAAGUGUUAGGGGGUUUCCGCCCCUUAGUGCUGCAGCUAACGCAUUAAGCACUCCGCCUGGGGAGUACGACCGCAAGGUUGAAACUCAAAGGAAUUGACGGGGACCCGCACAAGCGGUGGAGCAUGUGGUUUAAUUCGAAGCAACGCGAAGAACCUUACCAAAUCUUGACAUCCUUUGACAACUCUAGAGAUAGAGCCUUCCCCUUCGGGGGACAAAGUGACAGGUGGUGCAUGGUUGUCGUCAGCUCGUGUCGUGAGAUGUUGGGUUAAGUCCCGCAACGAGCGCAACCCUUAAGCUUAGUUGCCAUCAUUAAGUUGGGCACUCUAAGUUGACUGCCGGUGACAAACCGGAGGAAGGUGGGGAUGACGUCAAAUCAUCAUGCCCCUUAUGAUUUGGGCUACACACGUGCUACAAUGGACAAUACAAAGGGCAGCGAAACCGCGAGGUCAAGCAAAUCCCAUAAAGUUGUUCUCAGUUCGGAUUGUAGUCUGCAACUCGACUACAUGAAGCUGGAAUCGCUAGUAAUCGUAGAUCAGCAUGCUACGGUGAAUACGUUCCCGGGUCUUGUACACACCGCCCGUCACACCACGAGA
This 1330-nucleotide ribosomal RNA is filed under the name Staphylococcus aureus. RNAcentral describes it as "bacterial SSU rRNA". It matches the Rfam family "Bacterial small subunit ribosomal RNA", at positions 93 to 1409 of the family's 1533-position model. The record is from RNAcentral. Lineage: Bacteria; Bacillati; Bacillota; Bacilli; Caryophanales; Staphylococcaceae.